GUGCUGUUGCUGCCCUAGGUACGCCAAGGAACAGAGGAGGGCAGGUAUCUUCUGGCCAGCCUCCGGAGUCAAAUCAAGAUUUGAGGUACCCUGAGGAGGCUCUUACCCAAAGCUUAGAAACGGCAACACCGAAGCACACGCGGAGAACAUCUCAACGUCCACGUGCGACCGAGGAUGGAUUUUGUCCGCUCCUCUUCCAAAAGCUAAGUGUCGGGGCCAGUGGUUUGGAGAAGGGGAAAAACCUUUACUAUCACAGGGGGCAAUUUCAUGUCAGCUUAGCGGAGAGGUCUGUAUCGGGACAGGCUCUCUGGAAGUAAAGGGAGAGGGUUUCUCCUCAGCCUCACCAGAGCCUUUGCCGGGCAGGGCAGUUCCAACCCAUCUCCACGUUCUCGGGAACUUUGCGUUGUCCGCCUUCCUCGGCCCGACGUCGUCACGGAUCUUUUCCCCGAGGAGCUCGCCUUCAGGUCCGGAGCUACGGCCACGGUCACCCGGCAGUCGGCUUCCUUCUCUAGGCUCGCUGAGCCUCUCGAGCAUCCUCUUAACUGCUUUGGCACUAACUUCUUUUAAGGAGUUAUGUUUCAUCAUCACGUGCCAUCAUCAUAGGGCUUUCUUUCCUUUGGCAUCAUCGGCCUCUGGCUCAUCUUGCGCUAUGAAUCUCGGGUCCAUAAGUUGAAAGUGCUAGGCAGUUUACUCGUGUCUCUGUUAUGCCAUCCGUGUCUAUGUUGUGUCA
Agelaius phoeniceus (red-winged blackbird) is the source of this 730-nucleotide non-coding RNA. The record is from RefSeq and is a predicted model, not a curated record. NCBI's taxonomy places the organism in Eukaryota, Metazoa, Chordata, Aves, Passeriformes, Icteridae.